GCUCCCCCUUUAUAACUGCUGCUCACUCCAGGGACAUUAACCCAGUGACGUGUGAUGAGGUCAACAACAGGGAGUACCAGUGAAUAAAAGAUGAAGAAAAACAGUCUUCAUAGACAAUCAGUGGGGCAGAGACAUGCAGACGAGACGAGAAGUCAGUGAGAUCAAGGGGUCUGUGUGCACCUUACACACUCCAGGCCCUACAGUGAGCCAGUGAGCCUCACCCCACAUCCUGCUUGUUCCACCCUUCCUGGCUCUGACCAGCAUCUCAAUCCUCUGAUCUAAAAACUCAAAAUAUGUCAACUUAUUUUAGGCUACUGUCUCAAACUGCAAGAAAAAUGUACUGAAAAUACUAAAAGAUGAAAAGUAGAAAAAACAAACAUAUUCUCAUUAUGAAACUAAGCAUAAAGCAGGCUGAAAUGAUGGUGAGGGGGAUGUGAUAUGUUUACCCCCCACCCUCUUCUUGCCUUAGUCUUCAUUCUUCACCCAUGUUCUGUGAAGCCGUUUCAGUAGUGGAUCAGUCUUGAAAAGGGUUUAAUGUGAAAGUCUAUGCUGUGUAUUGUAUUUAGC
Alosa sapidissima (American shad) is the source of this 567-nucleotide long non-coding RNA. RefSeq lists it as uncharacterized. NCBI's taxonomy places the organism in Eukaryota, Metazoa, Chordata, Actinopteri, Clupeiformes, Clupeidae. The transcript has 3 exons. The record is from RefSeq and is a predicted model, not a curated record.